AGAAAGAUAAGCUAAAUAAGCUAUUUGGUUCAUACCCUACACAUAGAGGUAAAACCCUCUUCUUUUUA
RNAcentral lists this transfer RNA (68 nucleotides) under Empoasca vitis (smaller green leafhopper). Its description in RNAcentral is "tRNA-Met". RNAcentral also lists the same sequence under 1 other name. Lineage: Eukaryota; Metazoa; Arthropoda; Insecta; Hemiptera; Cicadellidae. The record is from RNAcentral.